Molecule: long non-coding RNA, 229 nt
Filed under: Physcomitrium patens
Lineage: Eukaryota; Viridiplantae; Streptophyta; Bryopsida; Funariales; Funariaceae
Description: long non-coding RNA (PPAT_LNC010590)
Source: RNAcentral
AUUUUGACUUCAAUCCAAUUAGCAAAUUGAUAAAUAUCUUAGAAAUUCUCACUAAUCCUUUGAAUUCCAAUUUUUGAAACUUCAAUAUGUUUGAGCUUCAAUUAACUUUGAAUAAAUUUUUAGAUCAAGUUCAAACUUGCAACAUAAAUUAUAUACAAUGAUAAAUACUUAAUUCCAAAAUUUUACUAAUUGAUCAUCUAAAAAUCUCAUACAAUUGUUCAAAGUACCA